Molecule: ribosomal RNA, 567 nt
Filed under: Colostethus pratti (Pratt's rocket frog)
Lineage: Eukaryota; Metazoa; Chordata; Amphibia; Anura; Dendrobatidae
Description: partial 16S ribosomal RNA
Rfam family: Bacterial large subunit ribosomal RNA
Source: RNAcentral
CGCCUCUUGCCACCUAUAAGAGGUCUAGCCUGCCCAGUGACUCUGUUCAACGGCCGCGGUAUCCUAACCGUGCGAAGGUAGCGUAAUCACUUGUCCUUUAAAUGAGGACUAGUAUGAAUGGCCCAACGAGGGCUAUACUGUCUCCUUUUUCUAAUCAAUGAAACUAAUCUUCUCGUGAAGAAGCGAGAAUAAUUUUAUAAGACGAGAAGACCCUAUGGAGCUUUAAAUAAUUGAAAAAUUUGCAUACCUUAUUUUUACCUUCCGAGCUACCACUUUCUGAGCAUUUUUAUUUCUAAUUUUAGGUUGGGGUGACCACGGAGCAAAAUUUAACCUCCACGAUGAAGGAGACUCCCCUCUCUUAGCUAAAAGCUACUCCUUUAAGCAUCAAUAAACUGACUUCCUUUGACCCAAUAAAUUGAUCAACGAACCAAGUUACCCUAGGGAUAACAGCGCAAUCUACUUCAAGAGCUCAUAUCGACAAGUAGGUUUACGACCUCGAUGUUGGAUCAGGGUAUCCCAGUGGUGCAGCCGCUACUAAUGGUUCGUUUGUUCAACGAUUAAAACCCU